AGCGAACGCUGGCGGCAGGCCUAACACAUGCAAGUCGAACGAACUCUUCGGAGUUAGUGGCGGACGGGUGAGUAACACGUGGGAACGUGCCUUUUGGUUCGGAAUAACUCAGGGAAUCUUGUGCUAAUACCGAAUGUGCCCUUCGGGGGAAAGAUUUAUCGCCAUUAGAGCGGCCCGCGUCUGAUUAGCUAGUUGGUGAGGUAACGGCUCACCAAGGCGACGAUCAGUAGCUGGUCUGAGAGGAUGACCAGCCACACUGGGACUGAGACACGGCCCAGACUCCUACGGGAGGCAGCAGUGGGGAAUCUUGCGCAAUGGGCGAAAGCCUGACGCAGCCAUGCCGCGUGAAUGAUGAAGGUCUUAGGAUUGUAAAAUUCUUUCACCGGGGACGAUAAUGACGGUACCCGGAGAAGAAGCCCCGGCUAACUUCGUG
RNAcentral lists this ribosomal RNA (433 nucleotides) under uncultured bacterium. RNAcentral's name for it is "partial 16S ribosomal RNA". It matches the Rfam family "Bacterial small subunit ribosomal RNA", at positions 29 to 507 of the family's 1533-position model. The record is from RNAcentral.